Molecule: long non-coding RNA, 1185 nt
Organism: Prinia subflava (tawny-flanked prinia)
Lineage: Eukaryota; Metazoa; Chordata; Aves; Passeriformes; Cisticolidae
Exons: 3
Source: RefSeq, a predicted model, not a curated record
AAACACAUUCCGGCACACCUGGCCAGGUGCAGCCAGCCCAGGGCCACGUCAGCUCGGCUCCGCUCCACAGCGCCGGCUCACAGCAUCUGCUCUUUGUCCGUGAUGGAGAUGGGCAGCAGUGGUGGAGCACCUGAGGCAGAGAAAGGCAGCUAAAUCCAGCAUAGGAGCUCAUCCUUUUGCCAGAUCAACGAAACACUACAGGAGAAGUUGUGAGCCUGGCUGCGCAGGGUUGGACUCAUGGAGUAGAACUGGUGACAGCUGCUGGCAUGCUGCCUGGCUGCCACAAGCUGUGGGAUCCUGUGGAGGGCCCACUCCUGACCUGAGGGACAGACACUCUGACAGCAUCCCACAAGUGCAUAUGGAGCAGCUGGAGCCAUGGGUGACAGGGAAAAACCUGGCCAGAUGUGUCUUUUUGGAGCCGGUAUCACCUUUCUCCAUUAUAAGUUUCUCCACAAAAUGUCCUCCUGUCUUCAGAAUGUACCCAGCACAGCCCAGGACAAGCAGUGAAGAUGGGGCCAUCCUGGUUUGUGUGGGUGUUAGGGGUCACCCAGCUUCUACAGAUCCUAAUAAAGAUGUGCAACAGUUUGGGACAGGGCUGGGUGCUGUGGGAUGGUCACAGGCUUAACUGUCCCUGGGGCAGGGACUGUUCAGAAGGGCACAGAGGAGCCAGGGAGGUGGCAGAGCCAUGGUAUGACCUGGUGCCACCAACUGCUGGAGAUGCACUUACCCACCCCAGAACUCUGGGCACUGCAAAGGGACCCCAUGACCAUUGUCCUGGAGGUGGAGGGACCCGGUGGGGACUGGCCUGGGCCACCCCAGGGCUCUGUGAACUCCAAGGAGACCCCGGAACAGUGCUGAUGAUGCUGGAGGUGGGGAAGGGGAGGCAGGGACCCCCACGGCCAGCAGCACUGCGGCUCGGAGAGCCAGACGCCAGGGGACAGCGCCGAUGCUGAUGCCGAUGCCAUGCAGGGAGAUGCAGGGGUCCGAGGAGAUGCUGGCCGAUCGGCGAGUCAGGAAGUGAGAUGCUGGUGGCAGGCCGGGCCCGGGCAGUCUCCAGGCAGUGUCCGAGCCCGCUCCCAGCUGGGAUGUCAGCGCCGUGUUUGCGAAGAGUUAAGGAGGCGGAAGAGGCAGGAAGCGGCCCGAACCGCUCUCCAUAGAAACCCGCGGCCGUGAUUAAAGUCUGAU